This 449-nucleotide ribosomal RNA is filed under the name uncultured bacterium. RNAcentral's name for it is "partial 16S ribosomal RNA". It matches the Rfam family "Bacterial small subunit ribosomal RNA", at positions 83 to 523 of the family's 1533-position model. The record is from RNAcentral.
AUCGCAAGAUGAGUGGCAGACGGGUGAGUAACGCGUGGGAAUCUACCGUGCCCUGCGGAAUAGCUCCGGGAAACUGGAAUUAAUACCGCAUACGCCCCCCUUUAAAAUAUCAGGCUAUUACAAUGCCCUGGCAUUUUAUGGGGGGGAAAGAUUUAUCGGGGUAUGAUGAGCCCGCGUUGGAUUAGCUAGUUGGUGGGGUAAAGGCCUACCAAGGCGACGAUCCAUAGCUGGUCUGAAAGGAUGUUCAGCCACAUUGGGACUGAGACACGGCCCAAACUCCUACGGGAGGCAGCAGUGGGGAAUAUUGCGCAAUGGGGGAAACCCUGACGCAGCGACGCCGCGUGAGCGAUGAAGUAUUUCGGUAUGUAAAGCUCUAUCAGCAGGGAAGAAAAAAAUGACGGUACCUGACUAAGAAGCCCCGGCUAACUACGUGCCAGCCGCCGCUGUAA